GAUGAACGCUGGCGGCGUGCCUAAUACAUGCAAGUCGAGCGAACAGACGAGGAGCUUGCUCCUCUGACGUUAGCGGCGGACGGGUGAGUAACACGUGGAUAACCUACCUAUAAGACUGGGAUAACUUCGGGAAACCGGAGCUAAUACCGGAUAAUAUAUUGAACCGCAUGGUUCAAUAGUGAAAGACGGUUUUGCUGUCACUUAUAGAUGGAUCCGCGCCUCAUUUGCUAGUUGGUAAGGUAACGGCUUACCGAGGCAACGAUGCGUAGCCGACCUGAGAGGGUGAUCGGCCACACUGGAACUGGGACACGGUCCAGACUCCUACGGGAGGCAGCAGUAGGGAAUCUUCCGCAAUGGGCGAAAGCUUGACGAAGCAACGCCGCGUGAGUGAUGAAGGUCUUCGGAUCGUAAAACUCUGUUAUUAGGGAAGAACAAAUGUGUAAGUAACUAUGCACGUCUUGACGGUACCUAAUCAGAAAGCCACGGCUAACUACGUG
RNAcentral lists this ribosomal RNA (497 nucleotides) under uncultured bacterium. RNAcentral describes it as "partial 16S ribosomal RNA". It matches the Rfam family "Bacterial small subunit ribosomal RNA", at positions 28 to 507 of the family's 1533-position model. The record is from RNAcentral.